RNAcentral lists this ribosomal RNA (477 nucleotides) under uncultured bacterium. Its description in RNAcentral is "partial 16S ribosomal RNA". It matches the Rfam family "Bacterial small subunit ribosomal RNA", at positions 28 to 507 of the family's 1533-position model. The record is from RNAcentral.
GAUGAACGCUGGCGGCGUGCCUAAUACAUGCAAGUCGAGCGAACGGACGAGAAGCUUGCUUCUCUGAUGUUAGCGGCGGACGGGUGAGUAACACGUGGAUAACCUACCUAUAAGACUGGGAUAACUUCGGGAAACCGGAGCUAAUACCGGAUAAUAUUUUGAACCGCAUGGUUCAAAAGUGAAAGACGGUCUUGCUGUCACUUAUAGAUGGAUCCGCGCUGCAUUAGCUAGUUGGUAAGGUAACGGCUUACCAAGGCUACGAUGCAUAGCCGACCUGAGAGGGUGACCGGCAACAUUGGGACGGAGAUGAGGCCCAGACGCCUGCGGGAGGCAGCAGUGGGGAAUAUGGCACAAUGGGCGGAAGCAUGAUGCAGCAACGCCGCGUGCGGGAUGACGGCCUUCGGGUUGUAAACCGAUUUCGCCUGUGACGAAGCGUGAGUGACGGUAAUGGGUAAAGAAGCACCGGCUAACUACGUG